CUACCUACGGGACGCAGCAGUGGGGGAUAUUGCACAAUGGGGGGAACCCUGAUGCAGCGACGCCGCGUGGGUGAAGGAGUGCUUCGGCAUGUAAAGCGCUAUCGGCAGGGAAGAAGCAAGACGGUACCUGACUAAGAAGCCCCGGCUAACUACGUGCCAGCAGCCGCGGUAAUACGGAGGAUGCGAGCGUUAUCCGGAUUUAUUGGGUUUAAAGGGUGCGCAGGCGGUCUGUUAAGUCAGCGGUCAAAGCCCGGGGCUCAACCCCGGCCCGCCGUUGAAACUGGCA
RNAcentral lists this ribosomal RNA (286 nucleotides) under uncultured bacterium. Its description in RNAcentral is "partial 16S ribosomal RNA". It matches the Rfam family "Bacterial small subunit ribosomal RNA", at positions 333 to 638 of the family's 1533-position model. The record is from RNAcentral.